GUCAAAUCAUCAUGCCCUAUAUGCCCUGGGCUACACACGUACUACAAUGGUAGAAGACAGAGAGAAGCAAAACAGAGAUGUAGAGCAAAACUUAGAAAAGCUAUCACAGUUCGGAUUGCAGGCUGAAAUUCGCCUGCAUGAAGCCGGAAUUGCUAGUAAUGGCAGGUCAGCAUACUGCCGUGAAUACGUUCCCGGGCCUU
This 200-nucleotide ribosomal RNA is filed under the name uncultured prokaryote. RNAcentral's name for it is "partial 16S ribosomal RNA". It matches the Rfam family "Bacterial small subunit ribosomal RNA", at positions 1184 to 1382 of the family's 1533-position model. The record is from RNAcentral.